Molecule: ribosomal RNA, 453 nt
Filed under: uncultured bacterium
Lineage: Bacteria
Description: bacterial SSU rRNA
Rfam family: Bacterial small subunit ribosomal RNA
Source: RNAcentral
UACGGGAGGCAGCAGUGGGGAAUAUUGCACAAUGGGCGAAAGCCUGAUGCAGCUAUGCCGCGUGUAUGAAGAAGGCCUUAGGGUUGUAAAGUACUUUCAUCGGGGAGGAAAAACAAAACUAAUAAUUUUAUUUCUUGACGUUACCCGAAAAAGAAGCACCGGCUAACUCCGUGCCAGCAGCCGCGGUAAUACGGAGGGUGCUAGCGUUAAUCAGAAUUACUGGGCGUAAAGAGCACGUAGGUGGUUUUUUUAAGUCAGAUGUGAAAUCCCUGGGCUUAACCUGGAACUGCAUUUUGAAACUGAAAUACUAGAGUAUCGUAGAGGGAGGUAGAAUUCUAGGUGUAGCGGUGAAAUGCGUAGAUAUCUGGAGGAAUACCUGUGGCGAAAGCGGCCUCCUAAACGAAUACUGACACUGAGGUGCGAAAGCGUGGGGAGCGAAACAGGGAUUAGGAU